GCCGCGACAGCUCAGCUGGUAGAGCAUCUGCUUCGUAAGCGAAAUGUCGCCGGUUCGAUUCCGGCUCGUGGCA
Molecule: transfer RNA, 73 nt
Filed under: Fasciola hepatica (liver fluke)
Lineage: Eukaryota; Metazoa; Platyhelminthes; Trematoda; Plagiorchiida; Fasciolidae
Rfam family: tRNA
About the family: Transfer RNA (tRNA) molecules are approximately 80 nucleotides in length.
Source: Rfam by way of RNAcentral